RNAcentral lists this ribosomal RNA (950 nucleotides) under uncultured archaeon. Its description in RNAcentral is "bacterial SSU rRNA". It matches the Rfam family "Archaeal small subunit ribosomal RNA", at positions 1 to 941 of the family's 1478-position model. The record is from RNAcentral.
UUCCGGUUGAUCCUGCCGGACCCGACUGCUAUUUGGGUGAGAAUAAGCCAUGCGAGUUGAAUGGGAUGCCUAAAGUUCCCAUAGCAAACUGCUCAGUAACACAUGAUCAACUUACCCUAUAGAGAAAAAUAACCUCGGGAAACUGAGGAUAAUGUUUCAUAAUUGAAUUGGCUUGGAAAAGUUUUUCAAUGAAAGGGAUAAAAAAAAUGGUUUUUAUCUGCUAUAGGAUAGGAUCGUGUUCGAUUAUGGUUGUUGGUGAGAUAAUGGCUCACCAAGCCGAUAAUCGAUAGGGGCCGUGAGAGCGGGAGCCCCGAGAUGGGUACUGAGACAACGACCCAGGCCUUACGAGGCGCAGCAGGCGCGGAACCUCCGCAAUACACGAAAGUGUGACGGGGUUACCCAAAGUGUUCAAUAGAACUGUGGUAGGUGAGUAAUGUCCCCUACUAGAAAGGAGAGGGCAAGGCUGGUGCCAGCCGCCGCGGUAAAACCAGCUCUUCAAGUGGUCGGGAUAAUUAUUGGGCUUAAAGUGUCCGUAGCCGGUUUAGCAAGUUCCUGGUAAAAUCGGGUAGCUUAACUAUCUGCAUGCUAGGAAUACUGCUAUACUAGAGGGCGGGAGAGGUCUGAGGUACUACAGGGGUAGGGGUGAAAUCUUAUAAUCCUUGUAGGACCACCAGUGGCGAAGGCGUCAGACUGGAACGCGCCUGACGGUGAGGGACGAAAGCCAGGGGAGCGAACCGGAUUAGAUACCCGGGUAGUCCUGGCCGUAAACGAUGCAUACUAGGUGAUGGUACGGCCAUGAGCCGUAUCAGUGCCGUAGGGAAACCGUUAAGUGUGCCGCCUGGGAAGUACGGUCGCAAGGCUAAAACUUAAAGGAAUUGGCGGGGGAGCACCACAAGGGGUGAAGCCUGCGGUUCAAUUGGAUUCAACGCCGGAAAUCACUAGUGCGGCCG